AACGAACGCUGGCGGCAUGCCUAACACGUGCAAGUCGAACGAGACCUUCGGGUCUAGUGGCGCACGGGUGCGUAACGCGUGGGAACCUGCCCUUAGGUUCGGGAUAACUCCCCGAAAGGGGUGCUAAUACCGGAUAAUGUCUUCGGACCAAAGAUUUAUCGCCUUUGGAUGGGCCCGCGUUGGAUUAGCUAGUUGGUAGGGUAAAAGCCUACCAAGGCGACGAUCCAUAGCUGGUCUGAGAGGAUGAUCAGCCACACUGGGACUGAGACACGGCCCAGACUCCUACGGGAGGCAGCAGUGGGGAAUAUUGGACAAUGGGCGAAAGCCUGAUCCAGCAAUGCCGCGUGAGUGAUGAAGGCCUUAGGGUUGUAAAGCUCUUUUACCCGGGAUGAUAAUGACAGUACCGGGAGAAUAAGCUCCGGCUAACUCCGUG
Molecule: ribosomal RNA, 433 nt
Filed under: uncultured bacterium
Lineage: Bacteria
Description: partial 16S ribosomal RNA
Rfam family: Bacterial small subunit ribosomal RNA
Source: RNAcentral